RNAcentral lists this unclassified non-coding RNA (718 nucleotides) under Hevea brasiliensis (rubber tree). Lineage: Eukaryota; Viridiplantae; Streptophyta; Magnoliopsida; Malpighiales; Euphorbiaceae. The record is from RNAcentral.
UGGAAAAGCAUCAAUUUCAGAAAUAAUUGUUUGAUCUCAAAAAGACAGUCAAUCUACUAACCUUAUAGUAUAUGACUAACCCAAAUCAAACUCUCAGAAUAUGAAAAGAUUCAGCAGAAAAGCGACAAAAGCAAAGUAAUGUAAGUUUGUCGGUUGCAGCGUCGGAACCAAGAUUUAUUUUGCGCUGUUUCAAGCCUUAUAGUUGAUUAUACAUUAGAAGAAAAGCAGGAAACACAUUUGUGGAUUCAAACUGCAACUAGAUUCAAGCUCAAGGUUCUCCUCCGAGCUCCACUCUUAAGUUGUCAUAUGGAUAGACCUUUGGUGUAAAUGGGAUUUUGGAGGCUUUAUCAUUCCAAACAGCUAACAGUCCAAUCCCCACAAAACAACUCAACCCACCGCACAACCAAGCCAAUGCUUCAUACUUUCCAACGGUAUCAGCUAUCCGAUCGAUACAAGGCUCGGGAAAAGGAGUACCGUUGUCCCAUGUAAGUUCAUCAUUCACAUGAAGCGGCUUAUCAGGUACGAUAUGUUUUCCGACGGGAAGGCCCAUGCCGGCGCGUGUUCGAAGAGAGGAUGCGAGGGAGCGGGCGACAACACCGUUUCCGCCCAUUAUGCGAGUAGCUACAUUACUCAAUCUUCCGGCCAUUUUCCGAUGAACUGAAUCACAAAUCGUUGAAUUCCGAAGAACUGUCGGCGAGAUACGAACGAUUCCGAUCAU